Molecule: long non-coding RNA, 509 nt
Organism: Daphnia pulex (common water flea)
Lineage: Eukaryota; Metazoa; Arthropoda; Branchiopoda; Diplostraca; Daphniidae
Exons: 2
Source: RefSeq, a predicted model, not a curated record
GAUGGCCAUUGAUGUUCAAGCUGUUAAUGGAGAUGCUGCCUAAUGAAGAGAUGGUGAAAGGCUGAAAGGUGUGCUUAAAGCUGUUGCUGCUGUCCUUGGUGUCACAAUUCAAUGUGUUGUUCAUUGAUUUGUCUGUUGUGUCAAAUCUCUUCCAAAUUCCCCUUCAAAUUUUUAUCUCGUCUUCACCAAAAAGCCACCACCUCAGCAUCACACAUCACAGACAACAUUCCCAAGGUUCUCAUGGCCAUUGAUGUUCAGGCUGUUAAUGGAGAUCUUGAAAGGUGUGGUUAAACUUUAAAUUGCUGCUGUCAUGUAUUGUGAUUUCAUGUGUAAGUUCACUUUUCAUGUCACUGAACUUUUUUCAUUCCAGUCUCAUAAGUAUUUUAAUUAUUCAUCUGCUGGGCUUAAGUCUAUCUAAUGUUCAAGAGACGAUUUCAAGUGUAUACUGAUAACAGUUUAUUGGCUGCGUCUUGAACCGGUCGGUUUGUUUAAUAAAAAUUUUUCAUAAA